CAACCCCCAGUCCAGGAUCCACCCAGACCAAUAGCAAGACAGCGCCUUUGACUGCAGCAGCCUGGUACAUCUGAAGAGAACAGGCCAGCAAGUGGACAAACUGCCCCCACUGAUAUUCAUCUAGACCCCCAAUUCAGGAUCUACCCGGAUAUCUAGGCAGAAUGCACCUUUGGCAGCAACAGCCUGGUACAUUUGAAGGCACCUGAUGUUCAAGGGAACACACUGUCCCCACUGAUUACCAUCAAGACACCCCAGUCCAGGAUCCACCCGGACCCCUAGGCAGGUAGAAAGUUCUCAUAUUUAUUUCUCUUCUUUACUGCCCCCUAUUCUUUGUAAAUUCUUUCCUCUCCAUCUCUCCACAGAAUGUGCCUUUGGCUGCAGCAGCUUGGUAUAUCUGAAGGCACCUGGUGAGCAUGGGUCACACUACCCCCACUGAUUCCCAUCCAGACCCGCCAGUCCAGAAUCCACCCAGACCCCU
This is a long non-coding RNA of Tupaia belangeri chinensis (Chinese tree shrew), 478 nucleotides long. RefSeq lists it as uncharacterized. The transcript is spliced from 3 exons. NCBI's taxonomy places the organism in Eukaryota, Metazoa, Chordata, Mammalia, Scandentia, Tupaiidae. The record is from RefSeq and is a predicted model, not a curated record.